Molecule: ribosomal RNA, 465 nt
Filed under: Vreelandella stevensii
Lineage: Bacteria; Pseudomonadati; Pseudomonadota; Gammaproteobacteria; Oceanospirillales; Halomonadaceae
Description: partial 16S ribosomal RNA
Rfam family: Bacterial small subunit ribosomal RNA
Source: RNAcentral
CCUACGGGGGGCUGCAGUGGGGAAUAUUGGACAAUGGGGGGAACCCUGAUCCAGCCAUGCCGCGUGUGUGAAGAAGGCCCUCGGGUUGUAAAGCACUUUCAGUGAGGAAGAACGCCUGGUGGUUAAUACCCAUCAGGAAAGACAUCACUCACAGAAGAAGCACCGGCUAACUCCGUGCCAGCAGCCGCGGUAAUACGGAGGGUGCGAGCGUUAAUCGGAAUUACUGGGCGUAAAGCGCGCGUAGGUGGCUUGAUAAGCCGGUUGUGAAAGCCCCGGGCUCAACCUGGGAACGGCAUCCGGAACUGUCAAGCUAGAGUGCAGGAGAGGAAGGUAGAAUUCCCGGUGUAGCGGUGAAAUGCGUAGGGAUCGGGAGGAAUACCAGUGGCGAAGGCGGCCUUCUGGACUGACACUGACACUGAGGUGCGAAAGCGUGGGUAGCAAACAGGAUUAGCUACCCCGGUAGUC